RNAcentral lists this long non-coding RNA (583 nucleotides) under Elaeis guineensis (African oil palm). RNAcentral describes it as "long non-coding RNA (EGUI_LNC073398)". Lineage: Eukaryota; Viridiplantae; Streptophyta; Magnoliopsida; Arecales; Arecaceae. The record is from RNAcentral.
ACCAAGGAAGAUGGUAAAAUCAAGGAAUUGAUUGAUCUUGUGAUCUUGCUCUUCCGAUGCCUAAUUUUUCUCGGGAUCGACUUCAAAUCUCCACAAAAAUUCAUCACAAAUACGUCUCCCGAGCUCUGAUUAAAGUAAAUGGAUUCAAGAGCUUGAAGAAAUACCUGGAUUUACGAUUUGGGUGUCUUCUUGCGAUCAAAAACUAGGGAGCUGGAUACCAUCUGCCGGGACUUAGAACUGGAUCAUUGGAAGGAGAAAUAUGGCCCAGAAAAAUAGUAAAUGGGAUUGAUCGAAUGGUGGAGAGAGCCAGCGAGAGAUUUAUUUUUGUUGUUUCGGUUGAAAGAUCGCUUUCUCUUCUCUUUUCCUUCUUCUCCGUGAGUUAGAGAGAGAGAAAGUUGGGACACGAGUCUCCCGCUGGUAAUGGAUAGAGACAAAAGGCGGCCUUACAGAGAGAGGGAGAGACGGCUGGAAGUAAGAGAGAGAGGAGGGGGAGAGGGAGGAGGAGGGGGGUUAUACAUUAUAUAGCAAGCCCCGCUUCUAAGUUUGGAAAUUGGAAAAUAAAAGAAAUUUUAUUAGCUGUAAA